Molecule: ribosomal RNA, 255 nt
Filed under: uncultured bacterium
Lineage: Bacteria
Description: partial 16S ribosomal RNA
Rfam family: Bacterial small subunit ribosomal RNA
Source: RNAcentral
UACGGGGGGGGCAAGCGUUGUUCGGAAUUACUGGGCGUAAAGGGCUCGUAGGCGGCCAACUAAGUCAGACGUGAAAUCCCUCGGCUUAACCGGGGAACUGCAUCUGAUACUGGAUGGCUUGAGUUCGGGAGAGGGAUGCGGAAUUCCGGGUGUAGCGGUGGAAUGCGUAGAGAUCCGGAAGAACACCGGUGGCGAAGGCGGCCUGCUGGGCAGUUUAGCUGACACUGAGGCGCGACAGCGUGGGGAGCAAACAGG